RNAcentral lists this long non-coding RNA (206 nucleotides) under Marmota monax (woodchuck). The record is from RNAcentral. Lineage: Eukaryota; Metazoa; Chordata; Mammalia; Rodentia; Sciuridae.
ACCAGGCAACCCAGGCAUGUGAAAGAACAACCAAUGAGGCACCGACAGACAAGCAGUGGUAACCACCUGUCAAUCAGUGGAAUCUCCUGACUGAUCCUGGAAGGACAUGGAGCUCAGCAAGAUCCCCUGACCAACCCCAGGAAGACAAGGGACCCUAAAAAUCUCCCUUUCCUGUUCCAAGCCCUCUCUUCCUGCCCUAAGCCUGA